GAUCACUUGAAGCACUUGGAAAAGGCCUCAGGGCCCUUCUGGACAUCUUUGAUGACCAGGAAAUACAACUGACGUGCUUGCACAAAGAAAGGCCACAGAUCUCAGAAGUCUGACUUUCUUUAUGAGGGAGGAGCCAGACAACUCUCUGAAGACAUGUCUGGAUGCAGACUCAGAGGAAAUGUUUGUCAAAGGGGUUGAAGUCAUGGAACCGUGGAAUCAAAGGACCCGGUGGAAAAGCGUAAAGAAGCAUCCUGGGCCACGGCCGAUGCGCUAACGCGUCCACUCCCAGCGGAGGAUUGUCCCGCACGCUCAGAGAAAACCACAGAGCGCACUGUGCGUUUCCUCGAGAGGCGAACAGAUCCACCUCUGCUUUGCCGAACCUGCUC
Limanda limanda (common dab) is the source of this 386-nucleotide long non-coding RNA. RefSeq lists it as uncharacterized. The transcript is spliced from 3 exons. The record is from RefSeq and is a predicted model, not a curated record. Lineage: Eukaryota; Metazoa; Chordata; Actinopteri; Pleuronectiformes; Pleuronectidae.